Molecule: ribosomal RNA, 433 nt
Filed under: uncultured bacterium
Lineage: Bacteria
Description: partial 16S ribosomal RNA
Rfam family: Bacterial small subunit ribosomal RNA
Source: RNAcentral
AACGAACGCUGGCGGCAUGCCUAACACAUGCAAGUCGAACGAUGCCUUCGGGCAUAGUGGCGCACGGGUGCGUAACGCGUGGGAAUCUGCCUUUCGGUUCGGAAUAACUCAGGGAAACUUGAGCUAAUACCGGAUAACGUCGCAAGACCAAAGAUUUAUCACCGAAAGAUGAGCCCGCGUAGGAUUAGCUAGUUGGUGAGGUAAAGGCUCACCAAGGCGACGAUCCUUAGCUGGUCUGAGAGGAUGAUCAGCCACACUGGGACUGAGACACGGCCCAGACUCCUACGGGAGGCAGCAGUGGGGAAUAUUGGACAAUGGGCGAAAGCCUGAUCCAGCAAUGCCGCGUGAGUGAUGAAGGCCUUAGGGUUGUAAAACUCUUUUACCCGGGAAGAUAAUGACGGUACCGGGAGAAUAAGCCCCGGCUAACUCCGUG